Molecule: non-coding RNA, 79 nt
Filed under: Prosthecodimorpha hirschii
Lineage: Bacteria; Pseudomonadati; Pseudomonadota; Alphaproteobacteria; Hyphomicrobiales; Ancalomicrobiaceae
Source: RNAcentral
CCUCCUCUUCGUGGUCAUUUGAGCCGGCCGGCUUGCAGCCACGUUAAAUAAGUCGCUAAAGGGCCGGGGUGUGAUGGAA